GACGAACCGUGCGAACGUUGUUCGGAAUCACUGGGCUUAAAGGGCGCGUAGGCGGGCUCGCAAGUUUGCGGUGAAAGCCCCCAGCUUAACUGGGGAAGUGCCGUGAAUACUGCGGGUCUUGAGGAGGGUAGGGGCAUCUGGAACAUUGGGUGGAGCGGUGAAAUGCGUUGAUAUCCAAUGGAACUCCGGUGGCGAAGGCGAGGUGCUGGACCCUUUCUGACGCUGAGGCGCGAAAGCCAGGGGAGCGAACGGG
This 253-nucleotide ribosomal RNA is filed under the name uncultured bacterium. RNAcentral's name for it is "partial 16S ribosomal RNA". It matches the Rfam family "Bacterial small subunit ribosomal RNA", at positions 524 to 776 of the family's 1533-position model. The record is from RNAcentral.